UUGAACGCUGGCGGCAUGCCUUACACAUGCAAGUCGAACGGUAGAGGGGCAACCCUUGAGAGUGGCGAACGGGUGAGUAAUGCAUCGGAACGUGCCCAGUCGUGGGGGAUAACGCAGCGAAAGCUGUGCUAAUACCGCAUGUGAUCUGUGGAUGAAAGCAGGGGGCCGCAAGGCCUUGUGCGAUUGGAGCGGCCGAUGUCAGAUUAGCUAGUUGGUAGGGUAAAAGCCUACCAAGGCGACGAUCUGUAGCUG
This 252-nucleotide ribosomal RNA is filed under the name uncultured bacterium. RNAcentral's name for it is "partial 16S ribosomal RNA". It matches the Rfam family "Bacterial small subunit ribosomal RNA", at positions 30 to 289 of the family's 1533-position model. The record is from RNAcentral.